UUGCAAAGAUUUUGUAUUUAAUUAGGUGUGCCCGACCGAUUUGAGGGCCGCUUGGGCCAAAUAUGCCAGGGCCGAUUUUUGGUGCCAGUCCGCCCCUGAUGCUCUGUGUAUUUCCAUU
Long non-coding RNA from Alosa sapidissima (American shad), 118 nucleotides. RefSeq lists it as uncharacterized. NCBI's taxonomy places the organism in Eukaryota, Metazoa, Chordata, Actinopteri, Clupeiformes, Clupeidae. The transcript has 3 exons. The record is from RefSeq and is a predicted model, not a curated record.